RNAcentral lists this long non-coding RNA (341 nucleotides) under Linum usitatissimum (flax). RNAcentral describes it as "long non-coding RNA (LUSI_LNC001157)". Lineage: Eukaryota; Viridiplantae; Streptophyta; Magnoliopsida; Malpighiales; Linaceae. The record is from RNAcentral.
UCCUGCUAAGGGCCCGUUCCUCUUGCAUUGAAACUUUUGAAACCCCAAAAUCCACUUGCACUCCUGGUAACUUGCUUCCCUUUAAUCUUUACAACUUACCUAGGUUCCAUUUAUCUCUAUGAGCUUUGUUUUUGCUGCUGUGUUUUUUGGGUAAAUAUGAACAAUUGUCGAUCCCAUAUCUUCCCUGAUCGAUUUCCAGGAUUCAUAAGCUCCGCCCAUGGUCAGAUUCUGUUUCUCUACGAUUUCUUUAUUUAUGGCUCAGGAUUAUGAGAUGGAGUGGAACAGUUGUUUGCCUUCUUUCUUUACCUACAUCCUCUCCUUUGAAUCCACUUUCCAGUUCA